This 254-nucleotide ribosomal RNA is filed under the name uncultured bacterium. Its description in RNAcentral is "partial 16S ribosomal RNA". It matches the Rfam family "Bacterial small subunit ribosomal RNA", at positions 524 to 776 of the family's 1533-position model. The record is from RNAcentral.
UACGUAGGAGGCGAGCGUUGUCCGGAAUCACUGGGCUUAAAGCGCGUGUAGGCGGACGGGGACGUCGGUCGCUGAAAUCCCCCGGCUCAACCGGGGAACGGGCGCCGAAACGCCCCGUCUCGAGGGACGUAGGGGGACCUGGAACUUCCGGUGGAGCGGUGAAAUGCGUAGAGAUCGGAAAGAACACCAACGGCGAAAGCACUCUGCUGGGCCGACACUGACACUGAGAGACGAAAGCUAGGGGAGCGAAUGGG